Empidonax traillii (willow flycatcher) is the source of this 3342-nucleotide RNA transcript. It is a transcript of the gene named male germ cell associated kinase, with no coding region annotated. The record is from RefSeq and is a predicted model, not a curated record. The transcript is spliced from 15 exons. NCBI's taxonomy places the organism in Eukaryota, Metazoa, Chordata, Aves, Passeriformes, Tyrannidae.
GGAGAGGCGGCGGGCGGGCCGGGGGGCUCCGCGGGGACCGCCCGGUGGCACCGCCCGCAGCGCCGCGGCUCUAUGUGAGAAUGACCAUGUUCUUGUGUCUCUUAUACUUCAUAUCUGGAUCUCAAAGUAGCUGAAGUUUGGGGGAGACCAGUGAAUAUCCUGCUACGUUAUGAGAAGCAAUUACCAACAUAAAGUGGUCUGGAGGAAGAAUAUUCUGAAGAAAAUCAAAGAGCAUAGAAUCCUUUAAUAAAGCAGAAGACAUUGAGAAUUUCAUAAGCCUUUGGCUCUCGUAGUCUUAAAAGAAAUGAACCGUUACACAAUUAUGAAACAACUAGGUGAUGGCACCUAUGGCAGUGUGUUGAUGGGGAAGAGCAACGAGUCAGGAGAACUUGUGGCUAUCAAAAGAAUGAAAAGAAAGUUCUAUUCAUGGGAUGAAUGUAUGAAUUUGAGAGAAGUCAAGUCUCUGAAGAAGCUAAACCAUGCCAAUGUAAUAAAAUUGAAAGAAGUCAUAAGAGAAAAUGACCACCUUUACUUUGUAUUUGAAUACAUGAAGGAGAAUCUCUAUCAGUUAAUGAAGGAUAGAAAUAAGUUGUUCCCUGAGUCAGUCAUCAGAAACAUGAUGUAUCAGAUAUUACAAGGGCUGGCUUUCGUCCACAAACACGGAUUUUUUCAUAGAGAUAUGAAGCCUGAAAACCUUCUCUGUAUUGGACCAGAACUUGUGAAAAUAGCAGAUUUUGGUUUGGCUAGAGAACUAAGAUCUCAGCCACCUUACACAGAUUAUGUUUCUACCAGGUGGUACCGGGCUCCUGAAGUUUUGCUGAGAUCAUCUAUCUAUAGCUCACCUAUUGAUAUGUGGGCAGUUGGCAGCAUAAUGGCUGAAUUAUACACACUAAGACCUCUUUUCCCAGGCACAAGCGAAGUAGAUGAAAUCUUCAAAAUUUGCCAAGUACUGGGGACUCCAAAGAAGAGUGACUGGCCAGAAGGAUACCACCUUGCUUCUGCCAUGAAUUUCCGUUUCCCACAGUGUGUCCCUAUAAGCCUAAAAACUCUUAUCCCAAAUGCAAGCAAUGAAGCGAUACAGCUUAUGAGCGACAUGCUAAACUGGAAUCCAAAGAAGAGACCUACAGCAAGUCAGGCUUUGAAGUAUCCUUACUUUCAAGUUGGCCAAAUUUUAGGACCUCCUCCACAGUAUCUGGAGAAGCAGACUCCUAUUAAACCAGUUCAGCCAACAGAGCCAAAGCCAACUCUUCCUAAACUGGAAGCUAUAUCCAAGCCAGAACCUCGGUCUUCACCUGAUUUACCUGUCGAAACACAGCCAGAGCCCCUGCCAAAGGUUAACCACCAGCCUCUCCAGCAAAUUCAGUUGCCUCAGAAUACAGCUAACCAGCAAGUACCAAAGCAGCAGCAGCCACAGGCACAACCCUUUUUUCCAGUUAUCAAUAAAAAUUCAUCACCUAAACAAGCAGCUAGUGGCCCUCUGAAUGUCGCACUAGGUCCUAAAAGCUGCAGAAGACGAUGGGGUCAGACUUUGGUAAAGGCUAUGGAUAGCUGGGAUGACUUGGAUGACCCUGAAUUUGGAAUGUCAUGUUCAAAGAAGCCUAGCAUUGCACCAUUAAAAGAAAAGAAAACCAAGGAAUUUAUUUUCAGUGUGCCAGAACCAAAGGCUUCAUGCUGUAUCCAGCCAGGAGGGGAAAAUAAGGUUCUGAUGAGAAAUGAUUCUGGAAGAUCAAAUACAUCAGCAAAACAGUACUAUCUAAAACAAUCAAGAUAUCUACCUGGAUGCCCAGAGGCUCAACAGUUUAAGUCCAAAAGAAAAGAAAAAGAAAAAUAUAAAGGGCAAAGAGCUUCCCUUUUUGAAGGUGUAAACCCAAAGAGUGUCUCUUUAGCAGCAGUCAAUAGAGAAGGAUCACAAGGAACCUGGAACAACCAGUUAUUUUCUAAAUCGCUGGCACAUGCUGGAGGCGGAUUGACUUUCAACAGAAAUACUACAGGGUUUUUUGAACUCACUACCCACCUCAAACAAUUCAAUGACCUUUAUGAAGAAUCAAGUAAGUGUUGUUUGAGAGGGGGUAUGGCCUUGGUCACCUUUACACUUGUGGAUAUCGUGGCAGUGAGUGCUUGCCUAUAGACCAGCUGCCAGACCUCCUGGAUGCCUGACAGAGGACUUCUUCUCUAGCAAGAACCCCUUCUUUUGGCAGUAGUCUGAGGUAAGGAACUGUGCUUUUAAAUAGGAUGUUUUUAAAUUUGUAGCUAUUCUGCUGUUUUAUACUGAACUUUUUUUUUUCCUGCUUCCCUUGUUCUCAUCCAACAAAAGAUCACCCCUCCAGACCUGUUUUCACCCAGACUGUUUAUCCUGGCUGCAAUUUUUCACUUCCUGUAGAAGAAUUCAUAAAGCACAUUGGACACAGAGAGGCAAAUUCCUGAAAAGGAAGAACAACUCAGACUCUACAAGAAAGUUCAAUUUUAUUGGAACACUUCAUUAAAGUUUUAUUUUUCACCAGCUGUAUUGAUGCGUCAUUCUUUACUGUGCAAACUGGCAUCAAGUGGACAGAGGAAUGCUACAGGGAGACCCAGCUAUUUGGAGAGCAGUGAAGUGACAGUGUGAGGAGCCUGGCAAACCUGGGUUAGCUGAAUGCUUGUUGUUAGUGCUCCUGAACAGGGAGGUUUGCAACAAGCCAGUGCAGCUGUAAUUAGCUGAGGGUACCUUUUCUGAGUUGUAGAUGACCACUUCUGCAGCUUAUAGAUCCACUGCUCUGAGCUCUGAAAUAAUCAGUGUUUGUGUGAAGAGGAACAUCAUGGGAUUGCACAAAGGCCAGUAACUUAGGAGACAAAAACUGUCAAAGCAGAUACUGCGUGUUUAGUGCAGCUACCACUGAAACGAUGAUGAAUACGCUUGCAUUUAAUAAAGGUUAAAAUAAACUACUAUGCAUGGCCUUGUACUUCACAAAUUUAAUACUACUGAGCACAGAACCAUGCCACUAGAGAAAAGCAUUUCUCUCUGGACAUUGUGCCAGCACAGUCUUAACACUCUCCCAAGUGAUGACAGACAUAAGGAAGGUAAGAAAUUUUCUUGGAGCCAGGAAUCUAACUAUUGUAACAGAUCCCUCUGCCAGUGGACACAAAUUUCAGUACUAAUUUUGUGUGUACAUGCACAAUGCUUCUCAGCUUUCAGAUGAGGAUGGUUAUGUCAACCUUUUCAUGGUAGUACUGCUUUAAAGAAAGAUCUGAACCAAAAAUAGGCGUAAUAUUAUAACCAGGGUAAAAGAAAGAGGGUAGUUGGGUCUGACCUUUAUAGUACACCUUUAGCUGGGAAAGUGGCAGUCAACUUCAAGUGGUGCACUG